This 879-nucleotide ribosomal RNA is filed under the name uncultured Bacteroidota bacterium. Its description in RNAcentral is "bacterial SSU rRNA". It matches the Rfam family "Bacterial small subunit ribosomal RNA", at positions 37 to 916 of the family's 1533-position model. Lineage: Bacteria; Pseudomonadati; Bacteroidota. The record is from RNAcentral.
UAGCGGCAGGCCUAAUACAUGCAAGUCGAGGGGUAGAGAUGGGUUUACUCAUCUUGAGACCGGCGCACGGGUGCGUAACACGUAUGCAGCCUACCCUUUACUGGGGCAUAGCUCAGAGAAAUCUGAAUUAAUUCCCCAUAAUAUAAUUAGAUGGCAUCAUUUGAUUAUUAAAGCUGAGGCGGUAAAGGAUGGGCAUGCGUUGCAUUAGCUAGUUGGUGAGGUAAUGGCUCACCAAGGCUACGAUGCAUAGGGGUUCUGAGAGGAUGAUCCCCCACACUGGUACUGAGACACGGACCAGACUCCUACGGGAGGCAGCAGUAGGGAAUAUUGGUCAAUGGACGCAAGUCUGAACCAGCCAUGCCGCGUGCAGGAAGACGGCCCUCUGGGUUGUAAACUGCUUUUAUAUGGGAAGAAACCCCUGGAUGCGUCCAGGGCUGACGGUACUUUAUGAAUAAGGAUCGGCUAACUUCGUGCCAGCAGCCGCGGUAAGACGAAGGAUCCAAGCGUUGUCCGGAUUUACUGGGUUUAAAGGGUGCGUAGGCGGACCGAUAAGUCAGUGGUGAAAGCCCAUAGCUCAACUAUGGAACUGCCAUUGAAACUGCCGGUCUUGAAUUCGGUUGAGGCAGAUGGAAUAUAACAUGUAGCGGUGAAAUGCUUAUAUAUGUUAUAGAACACCGAUUGCGAAGGCAGUCUGCUAAGUCGACAUUGACGCUGAGGCACGAAAGCGUGGGGAGCGAACAGGAUUAGAUACCCUGGUAGUCCACGCCCUAAACGUUGAUUACUCGCUGUUGGCGAUACACUGUCAGCGGCUAAGCGAAAGCGUUAAGUAAUCCACCUGGGAAGUACGACCGCAAGGUUGAAACUCAAAGGAAUUGACGG